GAUGAACGCUGACAGAAUGCUUAACACAUGCAGGUCAACUUGAAUUUGGGUUUUUAACUUCGGUUUGGGUGGCGGACGGGUGAGUAACGCGUAAAGAACUUGCCUCACAGCUAGGGACAACAUUUGGAAACGAAUGCUAAUACCUAAUAUUAUGAUAAUAGGGCAUCCUAUAAUUAUGAAAGCUAUAAGCGCUGUGAGAGAGCUUUGCGUCCCAUUAGCUAGUUGGAGAGGUAACGGCUCACCAAGGCGAUGAUGGGUAGCCGGCCUGAGAGGGUGAUCGGCCACAAGGGGACUGAGACACGGCCCUUACUCCUACGGGAGGCAGCAGUGGGGAAUAUUGGACAAUGGACCGAGAGUCUGAUCCAGCAAUUCUGUGUGCACGAUGAAGUUUUUCGGAAUGUAAAGUGCUUUCAGUUGGGAAGAAACAAAUGACGGUACCAACAGAAGAAGUGACGGCUAAAUACGUG
This 467-nucleotide ribosomal RNA is filed under the name uncultured bacterium. RNAcentral describes it as "partial 16S ribosomal RNA". It matches the Rfam family "Bacterial small subunit ribosomal RNA", at positions 28 to 507 of the family's 1533-position model. The record is from RNAcentral.